AAGCUAAAAAUUUCUCAUUUUCUUCAGCUUGAACUGCUUUUGGAUGAUAAUUGACCAAAUUAAUCUGUCUUCUCCCCCAAACGUUUUUUCCCCUCUGCUGGUUCCCCAAACGUUCUUUCCCCUCUGCUGGUGAAAUUGGAGCUUUAUACCCAAUUUCUUUUCCCCAUUUUCGGCUUUCAAAGCUAAUUUCUGUUCUUUGUUCCUCUU
This 207-nucleotide long non-coding RNA is filed under the name Gossypium raimondii (Peruvian cotton). RNAcentral's name for it is "long non-coding RNA (GRAI_LNC005324)". Lineage: Eukaryota; Viridiplantae; Streptophyta; Magnoliopsida; Malvales; Malvaceae. The record is from RNAcentral.